GAUGGGUGAGCACUCUUCUAGGGGAGGAGUUUUGCAUGAUCUUCAGCAGAACAAAGUAUCAUCAAUUUUAAAGCACUUUGCGCUUAUUUCGGGCCUGCUGAUUGAGCCCUCUUUGUGCUUUUUUUGAGAGAUUUAUAUUCUCGUAGCAUAUCUGGGGAGUGCCAAUAUAAUCCAUGCUGAAUACACUGAAGGUGUUGCGAAAUUCCAAUCUCUUUGACUCUGCAUGCUGUUGUUUUAGUAAAUAAUCAACAGGAGACUUGGCUGGCUUGGACUUGGAAUUCUUGCUGCCUGAGUUCUGUACAAGAGGCAGAGAUGGGAGAUGAUUCUUCUUCUUCAUCAUUGUGCUGAGUCAGCAGGCUAUACACACUCUACUCAUCGUUUAUAAGUCACCUUGGUAUCUGUCGAACAGACGUGAGGCCAUCAGCAUUUGCCAUCUUGGUCGCUAUCCAUGGUCACUUAUGAAGAAAAAAUGUUGAGCGAAGAGGCAGCUCUCCAGUUUCAAUUUGGCACCGGCAAGAAAUCUUUAUCAGGAUUUUCACUGAUGUUUUCAUAACUGAAGCUUUGUUUGGGUAAAGUCCGUGAUCGCUGUCUGAGAGUUCCAUUCGCCCAUUUAACCAAAAGAUUUGACCAAAUACAAGAAACAGCACAACACUACAGAGCAAAAACUUAAGAUACAAGCACUAUAUGGUAGCAUUGAGCUCCAGUCAUGCAGGACGCCACACGAGACCUACAGUAACUUUAUGGAGAAUCAAAGGACCAACUGCACGCAUUUUGCUUUUUCUUUGUCUUUUUGCGACGUCUUUCAAAUAAAAAAGCGAAAAAAUAGUAAAUGUGAUAAUAAUAUGAACACAGCGGCACGGUGGACGACUGGUUAGCACAUCUGCCUCACAGUUCUGGGGACCGGGGUUCAAAUCCCGGCCCGCCUGUGUGGAGUGUGCAUGUUCUCCCCGUGCCUGCGUGGGUUUUCUUCGGGUACUCCGGUUUCUUUCCGCAUCCCAAAGACAUGCAGGCUAGGUUAAUUGAAUACUCUAAAUUGCCCGUAGGUGUGAGAGCGAAUGGUUGUUUGUUUCUAUGUGCCCUGCGAUUGGCUGGCAAACGGUUCAGGGUGUACCCCGCUUCUCGCUCGAAGAUUGCUGGGUUAGGGUUAGGGUUAGGUCUCCAGCCCGCCCGCGACCCUUGUGAGGAUAAGCGGAACGGUAGAUGAAUGAAUGAAUAAUAUGAACACGUCGUCAUGUGAAGUAAGAAGACUCACUUUCAAUACAUUAAGACUUCAGCAUCACUGUGCACAUUGGAACUUGUGACAAAAAUUACGACAGAC
Molecule: long non-coding RNA, 1318 nt
Organism: Phyllopteryx taeniolatus (common seadragon)
Lineage: Eukaryota; Metazoa; Chordata; Actinopteri; Syngnathiformes; Syngnathidae
Exons: 4
Source: RefSeq, a predicted model, not a curated record